UUAGUAUGCUUUACUCGCCUGCGCUUACACAUCCAUUUUAACCAUCUUUUUUACAAGUUAAUUGACACACGUGUGAAAUUCGAUAUUAUCUUAAGUAAUUCGGCAUAUUUUUAGGAAAAAAUCUUACGACCCCGGGGUGUCUGUGACACAACUUUUCGCUUGCGGUUCUAGCUGUUGUAUCUGCUUAACUAAGUAUAGUAUUAAAAAUACAUAAUGUUUACAACAUUACAAUCGGGAACGUGCUUAGUAUGCUUUUAAUGAUCUUACUCACUAAUAUCUAUUGCUAAGACGUAAAACGUUUAAUAUUUACUUUUGCAUCAUGGGUCAAUUAAAAUUUUCCUGAUCGUUUUUCGCGAAGCCGCAGGAGCUAGUUACAAGCUAUUUAGGCUUGUAGGAGGUACGUGGCAUUGUGCUCUAUACGUGUAGUUAGGAGUGAUAGGCCUAUCAACUGCGUGGAUAUCUCGAUGCACACGAAAAUAUGUAGUAUAAUUCCGGACUACGAAAGUUAAGCCUCGUAGUAUAUACAAAUAUUAGUGUAUCUUUUAACGGCCCUAACCGUCUAUUAUUUUGGGCAAUCAUAUUUAUGUUGAGCUAUGUUGUAACAUACUAGUGUGCCGCGGGUGUUUAUUUGUUUUGUUGAUAAUGUUGUCAUAAGUAGCACAUUAAAUAGCCUGAAGGAACUCGGCAAAUCUGCUUCUCACCUGUUUAUCAAAAACAGCGCUGUAUGUAAUUGACGUAUGGUACUUCUGCUCCAUGGUAUGCUAAAUAGCCGCAGUACUCUGACUGUGCAAAGGUAGCAUAAUAAUUUGGCUUAUAAUUGAAGUCUGGCUCGAAAGAAUUAAUGGGAAGCAGCUGUCUCCAGGGGUACUAGUACAAAAUUAGUAAGUAAGUGAAAAUACUUGCGGGAAGAAAAUAGACGAGAAGACCCUAGAAGCUUGUUAUUUGUUUUGUUGGGGCGACAGAAUUGCAUGGAACCAAUUUUAUGGAUGUGACGUAUAGCAGGAAAUUAAGCUACUCUAGGGAUAACAGCAUAAUUAAACUUGUUUGUGACCUCGAUGUUGGACUAGGUAGAAUAGUCCCUAGAAGGGACUAAAAAUGCUCUGUUCGAGCAGCUUAACCUACAUGAUCUGAGUCAGACCGGCGUAAGCCAGGUCAGUUUCUAUCUUUUUAAUAAUACUUGCUAGUACGAAAGGACCGUAGGUUGCAUUAAUACUA
This 1215-nucleotide ribosomal RNA is filed under the name Cepaea nemoralis (banded wood snail). RNAcentral describes it as "16S ribosomal RNA". The record is from RNAcentral. Lineage: Eukaryota; Metazoa; Mollusca; Gastropoda; Stylommatophora; Helicidae.